UUACGAACAGCUGGCGGGUGCUUACAAAUGCAAGUCCUACGGAGUUUAAGAAAGAAGCUUGCUUUCAUUUUAAACUUAGUGGCGGACGGGUGAGUAACGCGUGAGGAACCUGCCCUUCAGUGGGGAACAACAACUGGAAACGGUUGCUAAUACCGCAUAAUGUCGGAUUGCCGCAUGACAAACCGACCAAAGGAUUUAUUCGCUGAAGGAUGGCCUCGCGUCCGAUUAGGUAGUUGGUGAGGUAACGGCCCACCAAGCAGACGAUCGGUAGCCGAACUGAGAGGUUGAUCGGCCACAUUGGGACUGAGACACGGCCCAGACUCCUACGGGAGGCAGCAGUGGGGAAUAUUGGGCAAUGGGCGAAAGCCUGACCCAGCAACGCCGCGUGAAGGAUGACGGUCUUCGGAUUGUCAACUUCUUUAAUUGGGGAAGAACAAAAUGACCUACCCAAAGAAUAAGUCACGGCUAACUACGUGCCAGCAGCCGCGGUAAU
Molecule: ribosomal RNA, 493 nt
Filed under: uncultured bacterium
Lineage: Bacteria
Description: bacterial SSU rRNA
Rfam family: Bacterial small subunit ribosomal RNA
Source: RNAcentral